GAUGAAGAACGUAGCGAAAUGCGAUAAGUAAUGUGAAUUGCAGAAUUCAGUGAAUCAUCGAAUCUUUGAACGCACAUUGCGCCCCUUGGUAUUCCGAGGGGCAUGCCUGUUCGAGCGUCAUUAUAACCCCUCAAGCUCAGCUUGGUGUUGGGGCCUGCUGCACUGGCAGCCCUUAAAAUCAGUGGCGGCGCCAUCUGGCUCUAAGCGUAGUAAUUCUUCUCGCUAUGGAGUCCUGGUGGAUGCUUGCCAUCAACCCCCAAUUUUUCUAUGGUUGACCUCGGAUCAGGUAGGGAUACCCGCUGAACUUAAGCAUAUCAAUAAGAGGAGGA
RNAcentral lists this unclassified non-coding RNA (329 nucleotides) under soil metagenome. RNAcentral describes it as "partial contains 5.8S ribosomal RNA, internal transcribed spacer 2, and large subunit ribosomal RNA". The stretch from base 1 to 120 matches the Rfam family "5.8S ribosomal RNA", at positions 35 to 154 of the family's 154-position model. The record is from RNAcentral.